RNAcentral lists this ribosomal RNA (379 nucleotides) under uncultured Acidobacterium sp. RNAcentral describes it as "bacterial SSU rRNA". It matches the Rfam family "Bacterial small subunit ribosomal RNA", at positions 531 to 908 of the family's 1533-position model. The record is from RNAcentral. Lineage: Bacteria; Pseudomonadati; Acidobacteriota; Terriglobia; Terriglobales; Acidobacteriaceae.
GGGGCGAGCGUUGUUCGGAAUUAUUGGGCGUAAAGGGUGCGUAGGCGGUUCGGUAAGUUUUGUGUGAAACCUUCGGGCUCAACUCGAAGCCUGCACAAAAUACUGCCGGGCUUGAGUGUGGGAGAGGUGAGUGGAAUUUCCGGUGUAGCGGUGAAAUGCGUAGAUAUCGGAAGGAACACCUGUGGCGAAAGCGGCUCACUGGACCACAACUGACGCUGAGGCACGAAAGCUAGGGGAGCAAACAGGAUUAGAUACCCUGGUAGUCCUAGCCCUAAACGAUGAUCGCUUGGUGUGGCGGGUACCCAAUCCCGUCGUGCCGAAGCUAACGCGUUAAGCGAUCCGCCUGGGGAGUACGGUCGCAAGGCUGAAACUCAAAGGA